Oxyura jamaicensis (ruddy duck) is the source of this 1181-nucleotide long non-coding RNA. RefSeq lists it as uncharacterized. Lineage: Eukaryota; Metazoa; Chordata; Aves; Anseriformes; Anatidae. The transcript has 3 exons. The record is from RefSeq and is a predicted model, not a curated record.
CACUGCGACCCCCCCGAGCCGCAGGCAGAGGAUGCCGAGGGCAAAGCGCGUGCGGUAAAAGCGGUCGCGGAGGCAUAAAGAGGAGCAGAAUCCAGAUUUCCCGAAUUUCAGAGGCAAUGCUUAUAUCAAUCUGGAGAGCGGGACGCUCAGCUUCACACGCUCCUUUUGCAGCAUCAGGAGAAGUGCUGACUGCUAGGUCUUUCUUGACUGGUAGAUCCCCGCGUGUGAACCAGGAGCCAUUUCUGCAUGGGACCGUCACUGGAUGCAGACUGAGAGCGGGCCAGCGAAGGGAGCAAAAGAAUGGAAACUGCAGCCAGUGAGGAACGAUUCAAAGAACUGGGGUUGUUUAGAGAAGCCAAGACAGAUGCGAGAAACCAUAAUUUUCUUCAAAUAUGUAAAAGAUUCAUUAAAGAGGAAUUUUCUCAGUAUCAAUGACAGGGCAGACAGGAAAGGAUGAGCACAACAUGAAGCUAGAAAGAUGAGGAAAAACCUUUACUGAGAAGGGCAGGUAAGCUCUCGAACUGAUCGUGCACCUCCCUGGGCAUUCUCCCUCUCUGGUGAUUUUAAGAGUAAGUUUGCCAGAGGUUUUUCAGAAAUGUAUCGGGUUAGUUCUGGCUUGAAGCAAGAGGAUGCAUUGGCUGUAUGAAUUCUGAAGGUCCCUUCUAGUCCUCCUUCCUGUUAUUUGUUUUUCUGUAGCCUCAGUGUGUCAAUUAAAAAUAGUCAAACUGGCACAAACCUGUUCCAGAGGAAGUGUGCUCUCUGCCCUUGAUUUCUCUUUUCUGCGAGUAAAAAUGGUUCCUCACUAAAUUAGUAAGAGAGUUGAUAAAGAUGGAUAAAGAAGCUGGAAUUUCUUGGAAAAUAGAGGGGAAAAGCUAAUGUCAUGGAUUAAACACAUUUGAAUUUAAGAACAGCUCUUUAACACCUACGGUUGACCAGUUUCCAGGGUGGACUCUGGAUUUACGGGACCAAAACCUUAAAUGGCAAGGCAGCGGGGUGCUGGAUCAAAGGAGGGAUUGCUGUUACAAGUUAUUGCGAAUGUUUUCACAGACUGAAUGAACGGAAACUUCAAUUUCCAGAUUAUUUAUCUCCACCUUAUUCCCUUGGAAGUAACUUGGGGCAUCCUGGAAACCAUUUAAGAAUAAUGAAAGAAAUCUGAGGGGUUGACGCACCAUUUCUUCCGA